RNAcentral lists this ribosomal RNA (520 nucleotides) under uncultured bacterium. RNAcentral's name for it is "bacterial SSU rRNA". It matches the Rfam family "Bacterial small subunit ribosomal RNA", at positions 94 to 630 of the family's 1533-position model. The record is from RNAcentral.
AGUGGCGACCGGGUGAGUAACACGUGACUAACCUACCUUCGAGUGGGGGAUAACCUCGGGAAACCGGGGCUAAUACCGCAUAACAUCUUUGGAGUGGAAAUUCCGGAGAUCAAAGGAGCAAUUCGCUGGAAGAGGGGGUCGCGGCUGAUUAGCUAGUUGGCGGGGUAACGGCCCACCAAGGCUUAGAUCGGUAGCCGGCCUGAGAGGGCGCACGGCCACACUGGAACUGAAACACGGUCCAGACUCCUACGGGAGGCAGCAGUGGGGAAUUUUGCGCAAUGGGGGAAACCCUGACGCAGCAACGCCGCGUGGAGGAUGAAGUCCCUUGGGACGUAAACUCCUUUCGACCCGGACGAUAAUGACGGUACGGGUGGAAGAAGCCCCGGCUAACUUCGUGCCAGCAGCCGCGGUAAUACGAGGGGGGCAAGCGUUGUUCGGAAUUUUUGGGCGUAAAGGGCGCGUAGGCGGUGCGGUAAGUCACCUGUGAAACCUCUAGGCUCAACCUAGAGCCUGCAGGCGA